ACCUUUUCCUAAAUGAACAAUUAUUUAAUGAGGGCUUAGGUUCCCAAACAAAGCCUACCCCUACCCCAAGUUUACUUACCUAUAAUGUGACAGAACUAUGGAAGGAAGAACACGAAAAUACUACAUAAAGACAGUAAGAAGGUCGACUGGGUGGGGAAGUAUGAAUUAAGUUAAUUUCAGCUACAUUGGUGUCCUGUCUUCACAGAACCCUGCCGUAUACAUAAGAAGUAUAUUCCACAAAACAAACUAACAGCUUCAAGCUUCAUUUCCUCAUCACCACCAGCCAACAACUGUUGACCAGUUGCCACGGACAAGUGGAUAAGUGCAAGGACUUUGGGAGUGGCAGUAUACCCCACCCCCACCCCAGACCAGAGCUCCUGCUUCCAGCCUUACCCUUGUAGCUACUACCUAAGGAACAAACUUCUGUGAAGAAAGGGCCAACCAUCCCCAACUAAUUGCAAACUAACUGGUACUCUCAAGGCAGGGUCACUGCUAGAAGGGACCUCGGCACCCACUUUGUCCAACCCAGAGCUGAAGGAAUCCCCUGGACAACAAAUGCAGUAAGGCCAAUACCUCCAACGAGGUGAAUCCCAUAACCUCUCUAGAUAGCUCAUUAUUUUGUAUUUACUCAUCUGUGCAUAUGCUGUAUGCCCCAGCAGGAUUUAAGCCAAGAGCAGGAGCACUGACUUAAUUUACUGGUAAUUCCUCAUAACAGUAGGCUUUUAUCAAAUCAGCUCUAGCCUCUUUUGACAUCUGCUCACCCCCACUUCAAUUUAUUAUUUAAACGAGUCUUCCCGUGACUCACAUGCAGCUCUCCUGGCUCCUGCCAUGAAGCUGUGCAGGUGGUAGUUAGUAAAUUAAGUGACUAUUCACCAACACCACAGGCACAGUUUGCUGUAAGAAAACAUAUUAUAAAAAUAUGCUUUUCACUAAAGAAACAUUGUUGAAUAACCACUUGCUUUACAAACUAUUUGUAAGUCUUUUGACUCUCAAGCUCCUCUGAUAUAUUUUAAAUGAUCUGAAUUGCAAAAAUUCAUUUCAAAAAUUUUAAAAAUAGGAAUCCAUUGACAGGAUAAGAUUUAGAUGUAAAAGGGACCAAGAGAUCACCUAAUCCAAUCCUCUCAUUUUACAGAUGAAAAACUGAAAUAGAGAAGUUAAGUGACUUAGCAGGAGAACUUGUAAAUGCUGUACACAUGAAUAAUUCUCACCUUACCGAGCCUAUUUUCUCAUCUAUAAAAUGGGGACAUUGCCUGUAGAACUUACCUUACUGUGAAGAUCAAAUGGAUAUCAUAAAAUUCAAACAGCUGAUUCUAAAGGGGCUCAAGGGAAGCCAGUUAUUAUUAAGUAGUAGAACAGGCAUUCAAACCAGGGCCCUCUUUCCACUACCACAUGCUGCCUUUCUGAAAUUUCUGUAUUAAAACCCAAACAAAU
Molecule: long non-coding RNA, 1431 nt
Organism: Phascolarctos cinereus (koala)
Lineage: Eukaryota; Metazoa; Chordata; Mammalia; Diprotodontia; Phascolarctidae
Source: RefSeq, a predicted model, not a curated record